Molecule: ribosomal RNA, 538 nt
Filed under: uncultured bacterium
Lineage: Bacteria
Description: bacterial SSU rRNA
Rfam family: Bacterial small subunit ribosomal RNA
Source: RNAcentral
AGAGUUUGAUCCUGGCUCAGAACGAACGCUGGCGGCGUGGAUUAGGCAUGCAAGUCGAACGCGAAAGGGGAGCAAUCCCUGAGUAGAGUGGCGAACGGGUGAGUAACGCGUGAAGAACCUGCCUUCAACAGGGGGAUAACACUCCCAACGGGGUGCUAAUACCGCAUGAGACCACGGGUCUGCAUGGACCUGAGGUCAAAGGUGGCCUCUGCUUGCAAGCUACCGGUUGAAGAUGGCUUCGCGUCCCAUUAGCUAGUUGGCGGUGUAAAAGACCACCAAGGCGACGAUGGGUAGCUGGUCUGAGAGGAUGGUCAGCCACACUGGGACUGAGAUACGGCCCAGACUCCUACGGGAGGCAGCAGUCGAGAGGCUUCGGCAAUGGGGGAAACCCUGACCGAGCGACGCCGCGUGGAGGAUGAAGGCCCCUGGGUUGUAAACUCCUUUUGCUGGGGAAGAAAUGCGAUCAGGUGAACAAUCUGGUCGUUUGACGGUACCCGGCGAAUAAGCUCCGGCUAACUCCGUGCCAGCAGCCGCGGUA